Molecule: long non-coding RNA, 213 nt
Filed under: Elaeis guineensis (African oil palm)
Lineage: Eukaryota; Viridiplantae; Streptophyta; Magnoliopsida; Arecales; Arecaceae
Description: long non-coding RNA (EGUI_LNC012209)
Source: RNAcentral
CGAAAGAUAAUCCGAUCUAAUACGUAAGUUGGUGGUCCACCAUGGACCAUUUGGUCCAUAAGAAAGUUAUAAGCCGUGAAAUGCUACAGUAAUUUUCACAUGGCUCAGGCUUUGGCGGGAUGUAUGGGAUUCAAAUCAAAAUAGGACAUCUGAGGGGUUUGUGAAACAAACAGUUUGGAUUCAAAUGGGCUUAAGAGGAGACGUUGGGUGAGC